RNAcentral lists this non-coding RNA (24 nucleotides) under Rattus norvegicus (Norway rat). Lineage: Eukaryota; Metazoa; Chordata; Mammalia; Rodentia; Muridae. The record is from RNAcentral.
UACGACAAUUUGCUAGGAGAAGCA